GAUGAACGCUGGCGGCGUGCCUAAUACAUGCAAGUCGAGCGAACGGACGAGAAGCUUGCUUCUCUGAUGUUAGCGGCGGACGGGUGAGUAACACGUGGAUAACCUACCUAUAAGACUGGGAUAACUUCGGGAAACCGUAGCUAAUACCGGAUAAUAUUUUGAACCGCAUGGUUCAAAAGUGAAAGACGGUCUUGCUGUCACUUAUAGAUGGAUCCGCGCUGCAUUAGCUAGUUGGUAAGGUAACGGCUUACCAAGGCAACGAUGCAUAGCCGACCUGAGAGGGUGAUCGGCCACACUGGAGCUGAGACACGGUCCAGACUCCUACGGGGGGCAGCAGUAGGGAAUCUUCCGCAAUGGGCGAAAGCCUGACGGAGCAACGCCGCGUGAGUGAUGAAGGUCUUCGGAUCGUAAAACUCUGUUAUUAGGGAAGAACAUAUGUGUAAGUAACUGUGCACAUCUUGACGGUACCUAAUCAGAAAGCCACGGCUAACUACGUG
Molecule: ribosomal RNA, 497 nt
Filed under: uncultured bacterium
Lineage: Bacteria
Description: partial 16S ribosomal RNA
Rfam family: Bacterial small subunit ribosomal RNA
Source: RNAcentral